Long non-coding RNA from Oreochromis aureus, 1146 nucleotides. Lineage: Eukaryota; Metazoa; Chordata; Actinopteri; Cichliformes; Cichlidae. The record is from Ensembl.
GCGCCAAGGUAUGAAACAACUUCAUUUAAAACAAAUAUCACAGGAUCUAUGCCAAAGGUUCCUGAAAUUUCUGUUAUGUUAAAACCCCUCAUGCAGGACAAUUUAUUAACAAAAUAAGUUUGAUCAACACAAAUACAUCACAUGAUCAAAUGGCAGUACCUCUUUUUAAUAUUCACUCCACAUGAUCCUACAAGGUGUGACCUUAGGAAAAAGGGUGUACUCUACCCUCUACUGGCAGGAAUGAAAUAUUCUUCAAAUGAAAACUUUUUUUUUCAUGUGAAGACUUAAAUAUCAGGGUAGUACAAAGGCAGUCUACUAAAAACAAAAUACCAAAAAUGUUAUAUAAUUUUCUUCCAUACACAAAACUCUGAUAAAGGAAUAUGCUCAAAAAUACAGACAUUGCCUUUGUUUGUACCUGCACCUACCAAUUAAAGACUCAACCAUAAACUCCACAACUUUUAAGUAUACAAAAAAAUAGCAAACAGCUACAAGCAAUUACGUUAUUUACAGCAACAAAUCUCUUGGUUGAUGAACUUAAAGAAGUUGGUAUCACAUCACAAAAUAGUGUAUUCCUUUUCAUUUUGGACGCCAGGAAAGGGAUCUGGUGCAGUGACAAGUUUUUUUAUGCACCACUCACAGAUAACAGCAGUCUUUAUCACAGUGGUUCCACAUCAACCCCGCUCCUUUCCAUAGGUUCAUUAGUCCUCUUGCAUUUACCACCUCCCUCUGUGAAAAGGUGGACACCCAAAUCCAGGCCUCCCAUUUCGGAAUUGCCUUGCUUCCCUGUCAUUUAUGCUCUCGGGUCCCAUGGAAGGGUGUCGAUGGAAAGGGGGACCACGAGGAGGGAAUGGCAUGGGCAUUCUGAACCUGUCUGAUGGAAACAUGGGUCCUCCGGGCAUCAUUUGUGGGGGCAUUUGUGGCAUGCUUGGAGGUGAGAGGAAAGGAGGCAUAUGAGGAUUUGUCAUGCCGGGAGGCGGCUGCAGAGGUGGCAUACCCGGGCUGGGUCCCUGCAUGAUAGCAGGGCUCGGCAGGGUCAUUACUGGUGAUGUGGGAUGCCCCAGCUGGUUGGCAGUCAUGACAUCAACAGAAGCACCUUUGUCUCCUUUAGGAUCUUCUGUGGACAUCUCUGGAGAUUUUAUACUUCCU